GAUGAAGAACGUAGCGAAAUGCGAUAAGUAAUGUGAAUUGCAGAAUUCAGUGAAUCAUCGAAUCUUUGAACGCACAUUGCGCCCCCUGGUAUUCCGGGGGGCAUGCCUGUUCGAGCGUCAUUACAACCCUCAAGCUCUGCUUGGUAUUGGGCCCCGCCAGUUCUGGCGGGCCCUAAAGUCAGUGGCGGUGCCUUCCGGCUCCGAGCGUAGUAAUUCUUCUCGCUCUGGAGACCCGGUUGUGUGGUUGCCAACAACCCCCAAUUUUUUAAGGUUGACCUCGGAUCAGGUAGGGAUACCAGCUGAACUUAAGCAUAUCAAUAAGCGGAGGA
Molecule: unclassified non-coding RNA, 329 nt
Filed under: soil metagenome
Description: partial contains 5.8S ribosomal RNA, internal transcribed spacer 2, and large subunit ribosomal RNA
Rfam family: 5.8S ribosomal RNA (bases 1-120)
Source: RNAcentral